RNAcentral lists this ribosomal RNA (264 nucleotides) under Triticum aestivum (bread wheat). RNAcentral describes it as "partial small subunit ribosomal RNA". The record is from RNAcentral. Lineage: Eukaryota; Viridiplantae; Streptophyta; Magnoliopsida; Poales; Poaceae.
AUCCUCAAAACAUAUUGCAGUGCCUCAGGUCAGAGGAUAAAUGUGGACAAGUCUUCCAUCUUCUUCAGUAAGGGUGUGCCCGACUCCACAAAGGGCACUAUCAAGGAUAUCCUAGAUGUCCAUAAUGAAUCCUUAUCAGAAAAAUACCUUGGUUUGCCUUCUGAUGUGGGUAGAGCAAAAGAAGGGUGAUUUAAAUACCUAAAGGACAAGAAUUUGGAAGCGAGUUCAAGGGUGGAUGGAGAAGUGCAUAUCAGCGGGAGGUAA